AAGACUAUACUUUCAGGGAUCAUUUCUAUAGUCCUUGACUUGGAAAUACGUUUCGAAAGUGUUGUGUCUCGCUAUUCAUGAUGAUGAGCUAUAAUGCUUUUUUCUUUGAGCCUUGAAUCGACAGAGAUCGAGACUUUUGUCUCUGGUCUGCUGUCAUUGAUGACCGUUCCUGCUCUCUGUCGGGGGGCAGGAGAAGAGAAGCAUUUUCAGAGUGAU
This is a small nucleolar RNA of Alosa alosa (allis shad), 216 nucleotides long. RefSeq annotates it as small nucleolar RNA U3. The record is from RefSeq and is a predicted model, not a curated record. NCBI's taxonomy places the organism in Eukaryota, Metazoa, Chordata, Actinopteri, Clupeiformes, Clupeidae. The transcript has a single exon.